This 505-nucleotide ribosomal RNA is filed under the name uncultured bacterium. Its description in RNAcentral is "partial 16S ribosomal RNA". It matches the Rfam family "Bacterial small subunit ribosomal RNA", at positions 28 to 507 of the family's 1533-position model. The record is from RNAcentral.
GACGAACGCUGGCGGCGUGCCUAAUACAUGCAAGUAGAACGCACAGUUUAUACCGUAGCUUGCUACACCAUACACUGUGAGUUGCGAACGGGUGAGUAACGCGUAGGUAACCUGCCUGGUAGCGGGGGAUAACUAUUGGAAACGAUAGCUAAUACCGCAUAAUAUUGAUUAUUGCAUGAUAAUUGAUUGAAAGAUGCUAUUGCAUCACUACCAGAUGGACCUGCGUUGUAUUAGCUAGUAGGUGAGGUAACGGCUCACCUAGGCGACGAUACAUAGCCGACCUGAGAGGGGGGUCGGCCACACUGGGAAUGAGACACGGCCCAGACUCCUACGGGAGGCAGCAGGAGGGAAACGUCGGCAAUGGAGGAAAGGCUGAACGAGGAAAGCCGGGGGAGUGAAGAAGGUUGUCGGAUCGGAAAGAUCUGUUGUAAGAGAAGAAAGGGUGUGAGAGUGGAAAGUUCACAAUGUGACGGUAUCUUACCAGAAAGAGACGGCUAACUACGUG